Pipistrellus kuhlii (Kuhl's pipistrelle) is the source of this 298-nucleotide long non-coding RNA. RefSeq lists it as uncharacterized. The record is from RefSeq and is a predicted model, not a curated record. NCBI's taxonomy places the organism in Eukaryota, Metazoa, Chordata, Mammalia, Chiroptera, Vespertilionidae. The transcript has 3 exons.
AAAGACAAACUUGUAACACCUGGCUCAGGUGACCAGAGAGACUGUGACACUCCACAAGACACCUAUUACAUAAAGUCAUUCUACCAAGACUGGGAAACAUAGUAGCUUUACCUAACACAUAGACAUAAACACAGGGUGACAGCCAACAUAAGGAGUCAGAGAAACAUGUCCCAAAAGAAAGAAUAGAACAAAACUCCAGAGAAAGAACUGAGCAAAGUGGAGACAAGCAAUCUACCAGAUGCAGAGUUCAAAUCACUGGUCAUUAUUAUGCACAAUGAUCUCAAGGAAACAGUAGGUG